AUUUUUGUAGUUGAAGGACAACAGUAGCUUUUCACGCUUCAAGUUUGGGUUAGAACCCCAAUAAAAAUU
RNAcentral lists this transfer RNA (69 nucleotides) under Patiria pectinifera. Its description in RNAcentral is "tRNA-Glu". It matches the Rfam family "tRNA". From Rfam's summary of the family: Transfer RNA (tRNA) molecules are approximately 80 nucleotides in length. Their secondary structure includes four short double-helical elements and three loops (D, anti-codon, and T loops). The record is from RNAcentral. Lineage: Eukaryota; Metazoa; Echinodermata; Asteroidea; Valvatida; Asterinidae.